UAGGGAAUCUUCGGCAAUGGACGGAAGUCUGACCGAGCAACGCCGCGUGAGUGAAGAAGGUUUUCGGAUCGUAAAGCUCUGUUGUUAGAGAAGAACGUUGGUAGGAGUGGAAAAUCUACCAAGUGACGGUAACUAACCAGAAAGGGACGGCUAACUACGUGCCAGCAGCCGCGGUAAUACGUAGGUCCCGAGCGUUGUCCGGAUUUAUUUGGCGUAAAGCGAGCGCAGGCGGUUCUUUAAGUCAGAAGUUAAAGGCAGUGGCUUAACCAUUGUACGCUUUGGAAACUGGAGGACUGGAGUGCAGAAGGGGAGGGUGGAAUUCCAUGUGUAGCGGUGAAAUGCGUAGAUAUAUGGAGGAACACCGGUGGCGAAAGCGGCUCUCUGGUCUGUAACUGACGCUGAGGCUCGAAAGCGUGGGGAGCAAACAGG
RNAcentral lists this ribosomal RNA (429 nucleotides) under Bacillota bacterium. RNAcentral describes it as "Firmicutes bacterium partial 16S ribosomal RNA". It matches the Rfam family "Bacterial small subunit ribosomal RNA", at positions 355 to 776 of the family's 1533-position model. The record is from RNAcentral. Lineage: Bacteria; Bacillati; Bacillota.